Molecule: non-coding RNA, 76 nt
Organism: Eptesicus fuscus (big brown bat)
Lineage: Eukaryota; Metazoa; Chordata; Mammalia; Chiroptera; Vespertilionidae
Source: RefSeq, marked provisional
CCCUCCCACAGCUGUUGCCUGAGUUUUCAGUCCAUGCUGAGAUUGAAGCCUCAUGGUGGCUGGUACCAUGGAUCUG